Long non-coding RNA from Aegilops tauschii subsp. strangulata, 1240 nucleotides. RefSeq lists it as uncharacterized. Lineage: Eukaryota; Viridiplantae; Streptophyta; Magnoliopsida; Poales; Poaceae. The record is from RefSeq and is a predicted model, not a curated record.
CUAAUGCAUGUUAUGGUGGAACAACCUCCCUCUUGAAUUGGUGUAACUUCGGUCGAAAGUCGAUGUUGGGAUGAGCGUUACAGCCUUGUAGUCUGCACAGAUAGCACGGUUUAUGCAGAGGGGCCAGCUCGGCCUAUGGGUGGAGCUGCUACAGUUGCUAUGCUUAUUGGUCCAAAUGCAUCUAUUUCUUUCGAAAGCAAAUAUAGAGCUUCUCACAUGACUCAUGUUUACGAUCUCUACAAGCCUCAUCUUGCAAGUGAAUAUCCGCGAGAUGCAUGGCACUGCGGGAGUUGUGACGGACAUGGACAGAUGAAUUCACAUGAUCUUGAGAUUGCAUGGAACCCUAUGUUGUUGACACAUAAGCUCAUAACACUUCUGGUGAAACUACUUGUCAGCGGAUGUUUACGCCAUUAAUGUCGACCAUUAUAUUGGAGGAUUUAAAGUAGGGUGACACCUGUUGCACCAAUUGACAUUGUUGACAGCAUAACAAAAGAAGCUUGAACUAAUAUUAAGUUUUGCAAUUGAGAAGAGGAGCGUGAGGGAAUAUGAUGUGACAUUCUGUGGUGGGCCUAUUUCUCCACGGAUGCUUCCCCUGUCAUGUCUGUUGCACACUAGCAGAGUGGCAGUGGCUCUAUUUGUUGCUACAGUACAAAUUUGUGGAGUACACAACAGAGGGUUGGACAUUCAAGGACAGUAUAGGAACUACCACGAAGUUUUCAACCGUCAGAUGUUUUCCCACCAUCGCCAUGCGCCGUUAAAAUAAAUCCGACGCCAUUUCAGUUUAAUUACUAGCUAAGCUGUUCUGCUGCUGGACUUAGAGAAUCGCUUCGGGAAACAAAUAUAGCAGACUCAUCAAAGCCGCGCAUAUACAGUAGAACCAGAGAUUCUCAGAAAUGUUACUCUUACCAGUACGGUACGUGCAGUGCGUGCGUUGGUACAGUACUGCACAUCGUUGAGGUACGGAGAAGAUACCCAUCGAUCGGUCACCACUUGCUUUCUCUCUCCGACGUCAGUGGCUCUCCCGGCGCUGACGUACACGCGCAAGGAUGCAUGAACCUGGUCAGCUUCCAGGUUGCUUCGCUUCGCCAGCAGCCAAUGGCGUGCAUGCUAGCUCUGACUUCACCACACAUCAGACCCCCACUAGUACUACCUCUGAAUUUUAAAUCCCUCUAGAAACGGGGGUCUCUUGCACCACGCAAAGGCGUUCCCUUUGCCAAUUUCCACGCCCACAAAGCGGCAA